This 438-nucleotide long non-coding RNA is filed under the name Physcomitrium patens. RNAcentral's name for it is "long non-coding RNA (PPAT_LNC002448)". The record is from RNAcentral. Lineage: Eukaryota; Viridiplantae; Streptophyta; Bryopsida; Funariales; Funariaceae.
AACAAAACAUUCAAAACAAGACAUUCCGUCACAGCCUACUUGCCAACGUUGAAGACCAUCCAGUAACCCCGAAGAGUUACAAGCAGAAACCUCCAGAAACAGCCGCCCUGGAAUCCAACAAAAGAAUCCCUUGUCACUAAUGCUCAAUAUGGUGGGGGAGGGCAUGGCUUCUUCUUGUCACCGUGAUGUUUGGGAGGAUAGUUGUGAUGAUCAUCGUGUUUCGGAGGCUUGUUGUGGUGGUCGUCGUCAUGUUUCGGAGGCUUGUUGUAGUGGUCGUCGUCGUGCUUCGGGGGAUUUUUGUGGUGGUCGUCGUCGUGUUUUGGUGGAGGGCACGGCUUCUUCUUGUGAUGAUCGUCAUCGUGGUGUUUGGGAGGAUGCUUGUAAUCGUGAUCAUCAUGGCCGGGAGGAUUCUUCUUGUGAUGGGGAGGAGGAGAGUAU